AAUAUUGGACAAUGGGCGAAAGCCUGAUCCAGCCAUGCCGCGUGUGUGAAGAAUGACAUCUGCUUGUAAAUCAAGUUAAGUUGGGGGGAAGGGCAGUAAGUUAAUAUCUUGCUGUUUUGACGUUACCUACAGAAUUAGCACCGACUAACUUCGGGCCAGCUGACGCGGUACUACGAAGGGUGCAUGCUUUAAUCGGAAUUACUGGGCGUAAAGCGCGAGUAGGUGGUUCGUUAAGUUGGAUGUGAAAGCCCCGGGCUCAACCUGGGAACUGCAUACAAAACUGGCGAGCUAGAGUACGGUAGAGGGUAGUGGAAUUUCCUGUGUAGCGGUGAAAUGCGUAGAUAUAGGAAGGAACACCAGUGGCGAAGGCGACCACCUGGACUGAUACUGACACUGAGGUGCGAAAGCGUGGGGAGCAAACAGG
Molecule: ribosomal RNA, 424 nt
Filed under: uncultured bacterium
Lineage: Bacteria
Description: partial 16S ribosomal RNA
Rfam family: Bacterial small subunit ribosomal RNA
Source: RNAcentral